AGUAUGUAGCGGUAAGUAGGUACUGUGAAUAACGGUUUAAUAGGGAAUCUGGUGAAAGACCAGAACUGUCCCCGCAACUGUAAAUGUGGACGAACUGAGACGAUCACUGUGCAAAGGCAUGGGAAGACACUCAUAGUAGAACGAUGCAUAAGUCAGGAGACCUGCCUACGACCGCAGUUUCAA
RNAcentral lists this non-coding RNA (183 nucleotides) under Pontibacillus halophilus. The record is from RNAcentral. Lineage: Bacteria; Bacillati; Bacillota; Bacilli; Caryophanales; Bacillaceae. RNAcentral also lists the same sequence under 1 other name.